This 502-nucleotide long non-coding RNA is filed under the name Dasypus novemcinctus (nine-banded armadillo). Its description in RNAcentral is "lncRNA (ENSDNOG00000051609.1)". Lineage: Eukaryota; Metazoa; Chordata; Mammalia; Cingulata; Dasypodidae. The record is from RNAcentral.
AAGGUCUCGCAGAGGCUAAAACAUAAUAUCGCGAUAGUUCUCGCGAGGCUUGCGGGUGCCGGCGGCGGCCGUUUAGCCCCGCCCCUCCGUGCGGUUGUGCGUCAUUUGCUUUUCGCUUUGCGUAGGGUGAGAGCGGAGUGGUAAGUACUUCGGCUGUAGUGGGAGGAGGGGUUUGGGAAGGGCUGGGCUCCGGCUUUUCGCGUCCGGUAGGGGGUUCUCGCGGGAUUGCGCGGAGGCGGCGACGGUUCUGUCUUGGACGGCAGCAGCCGCGGAGGCGGUAACGUCUCUGGCUCGUGCUGUUCUUAGCCGGUACUCCACUAGUCUGAGUGGGUUAGUGCUCCAGAGAAACCAGCAGACCAACUUGGUCAGGAAGGUUCGGGAAGCUGUUGGAGCAGUGAUUUGGCAUUUCCCACCAGGAUGAGUAUGAUUGGUUGUGAUUCUAGGUUAGUUUUGUACAUCUUUGUGUGUAGUGUAGUAUUUAUAUUUUACUUCCUGCAAAGGA